RNAcentral lists this ribosomal RNA (130 nucleotides) under Janthinobacterium lividum. RNAcentral describes it as "partial 16S ribosomal RNA". It matches the Rfam family "Bacterial small subunit ribosomal RNA", at positions 1 to 130 of the family's 1533-position model. The record is from RNAcentral. Lineage: Bacteria; Pseudomonadati; Pseudomonadota; Betaproteobacteria; Burkholderiales; Oxalobacteraceae.
AAACUGAAGAGUUUGAUCCUGGCUCAGAUUGAACGCUGGCGGCAUGCCUUACACAUGCAAGUCGAACGGCAGCACGGAGCUUGCUCUGGUGGCGAGUGGCGAACGGGUGAGUAAUAUAUCGGAACGUACC